Molecule: ribosomal RNA, 274 nt
Filed under: uncultured bacterium
Lineage: Bacteria
Description: partial 16S ribosomal RNA
Rfam family: Bacterial small subunit ribosomal RNA
Source: RNAcentral
AUACGGAGGGGGUUAGCGUUGUUCGGAAUUACUGGGCGUAAAGCGUACGUAGGCGGAUUAGUAAGUUAGGGGUGAAAGCCCAGGGCUCAACCCUGGAACUGCCUCUAAAACUGCUAGUCUUGAGAUCGUGAGAGGUGAGUGGAAUUCCGAGUGUAGAGGUGAAAUUCGUAGAUAUUCGGAGGAACAUCAGUGGCGAAGGCGGCUCACUGGCACGAUACUGACGCUGAGGUACGAAAGUGUGGGGAGCAAACAGGAUUAGAAACCCCAGUAGUCC